GACGAACGCUGGCGGCGUGCUUAACACAUGCAAGUCGAACGGAAAGGCCCUGCUUUUGUGGGGUGCUCGAGUGGCGAACGGGUGAGUAACACGUGAGUAACCUGCCCUUGACUUUGGGAUAACUUCAGGAAACUGGGGCUAAUACCGGAUAGGAGCUCCUGCUGCAUGGUGGGGGUUGGAAAGUUUCGGCGGUUGGGGAUGGACUCGCGGCUUAUCAGCUUGUUGGUGGGGUAGUGGCUUACCAAGGCUUUGACGGGUAGCCGGCCUGAGAGGGUGACCGGGCAAGUUGGGAGCUGGGAGGCGGCCCGGCCCCAAGGGGGGGCAAGGAGGGGGAAAUUGUGCACAAGGGGCGGAGGCAGUAGGCAGCACCGCCGGGUGGGGGAGGAGGGCCUGGGGGUUGAAACCCGUUUUCGCGGGUGAGGAGGGGGGAGGGGGGGUAGGGGUAAAAAAACCCCGGCAAACAAGGUC
RNAcentral lists this ribosomal RNA (468 nucleotides) under uncultured bacterium. Its description in RNAcentral is "partial 16S ribosomal RNA". It matches the Rfam family "Bacterial small subunit ribosomal RNA", at positions 28 to 507 of the family's 1533-position model. The record is from RNAcentral.